UACGUAGGGGGCAAGCGUUGUCCGGAAUUAUUGGGCGUAAAGCGCGCGCAGGCGGUCUUUUAAGUCAGGUGUUUAAGCCCGGGGCUCAACCCCGGUUCGCACCUGAAACUGGGAGGCUUGAGUGCAGGAGAGGAAAGUGGAAUUCCACGUGUAGCGGUGAAAUGCGUAGAUAUGUGGAGGAACACCAGUGGCGAAGGCGACUUUCUGGCCUGUAACUGACGCUGAGGCGCGAAAGCGUGGGGAGCAAACAGG
Molecule: ribosomal RNA, 252 nt
Filed under: uncultured bacterium
Lineage: Bacteria
Description: partial 16S ribosomal RNA
Rfam family: Bacterial small subunit ribosomal RNA
Source: RNAcentral